This 256-nucleotide ribosomal RNA is filed under the name Micromonospora sp. HNM0581. RNAcentral describes it as "partial 23S ribosomal RNA". It matches the Rfam family "Bacterial large subunit ribosomal RNA", at positions 2673 to 2925 of the family's 2925-position model. Lineage: Bacteria; Bacillati; Actinomycetota; Actinomycetes; Micromonosporales; Micromonosporaceae. The record is from RNAcentral.
UGUCCCUAGUACGAGAGGACCGGGACGGACGAACCUCUGGUGUGCCAGUUGUCCCGCCAGGGGCACGGCUGGUUAGCUACGUUCGGAAGGGAUAACCGCUGAAAGCAUCUAAGCGGGAAGCCUGCUUCAAGAUGAGGUAUCCCACCCACUUUUGUGGGGUAAGGCCCCCAGCUAGACGACUGGGUUGAUAGGCCGGAAAUGUAAGCCCGGUAACGGGUUCAGUUGACCGGUACUAAUAGGCCGAGGACUUGACUAU